This 73-nucleotide transfer RNA is filed under the name Actinospica robiniae DSM 44927. It matches the Rfam family "tRNA". From Rfam's summary of the family: Transfer RNA (tRNA) molecules are approximately 80 nucleotides in length. Their secondary structure includes four short double-helical elements and three loops (D, anti-codon, and T loops). The record is from Rfam by way of RNAcentral. Lineage: Bacteria; Bacillati; Actinomycetota; Actinomycetes; Catenulisporales; Actinospicaceae.
GUGGGCGUAGCUCAGUUGGUAGAGCAUUUGGUUGUGGUCCAAAGGGUCGCGGGUUCGAGUCCCGUCGCUCACC